AUGGCGGCGCCCCUCCCGUCGGACCGUCCGCGCCGUCACUCCUGGCCCAACCUCCUGGUUCCGCAUCCUAUAGGGAAGGCCAAGGAAAACUGCGCCGAGGAGGGCAUCGGCGGCGCCCUUCCGCGCUCGGUCCCUGACCUGAAGCGGCUGGCCGCGGGGAGGACCGCAACGCAGCGUAGUAUUGCCGAGUUCCUGCAUAUGCCCAAGCACCACUUAACUGAUUUGGGAGGUAGCAAAAUGGCUCUAGCAUGGGUGGAAGAUUGUGUGAACUGGUUGAGUUCCAAAGUGUUCCGGAUAGUGCCGCUUCUCAGCUUACUCAUGUAUCUUAUCCUCGCCGUCUUCUCCGACAGCCGACGGCGUGAAGACAGAGGUUGGAAGAGAGGGUUAUUGUGGUUGGCAUACCAGUUGACCGAGUGGGGGCCGGCAUAUGUCAUCGGCAACCUGUACCUUGAAACCAAACCGUGCGACAAGAUGAUCAUCGCCUUCUGGGUGCCGUUCCUAUUGCUGCACAACGCCCGCCCGGACAACAUCAGCGCCUACACCAUCGAGGACAAUGAUCUCUGGCUGCGCGUGAUCGUGUUUGUUCCCUUGCAGUCCCUGGGAUCCAUUCUUAUUGUGCACAGGUAUAUACUCUCCAACUGCAAUCCUGGGUUGUUGCGUCAGGCGACCUUCAUCAUGUUACCGCUGGGCCUUUUCAAGUAUAUUGAGAGUGGGGUGGCGCUAUGGCUAUGCGGCAUGAGCCGCAUUCGAAGGUCAUUUAGGAAGCAGCAACCACUUGUCAGUAUCUUCAGAAAUGAUGAUGGGGUCAAGAAUCUGAAAGAUGAGGAAGCCUUGUUGGUUGCUCAUGACCUGUUCGAGAUCUGCAAGGGGGCCUUCUGUGAUUAUACGGGGAAAAUGGAUCAUAAUGCCGCCGUCAGAAGCAGCUUCUCGGGUCAAUGGCAGAAUAUGUGCAAGGUGGUGGAGAUGGAACUCUCUCUCAUGUAUGACAUCUUCUACACCAAGGCAGCCGUGGUCCACACCUGGCCUGGCUACCUCAUCCGUCUGGCCUCGCCGCUCCUCACCGCCACCGCGCUUCUGCUGUUUGGCCUCCAAUGCAAAGAGGGCAUGAAGACAGAAGAUGAAGUUAUUAGUUACAUAUUGCUCGGGACGACCUUCCUCCUCGAUGUGAGAUGGCUGCUCAGAGCACUAGCAUCAUCCUGGACACAUUCAUACUUCAAACUUAUGCAACACAAUUGGUUGAAGCAUGAAUUUUGGUGCCGUGGAGGAUGGAAGAAGCUCCGUCACAUUGUCCUCUCUCUGCGUCUUUCCAGGCUCUCCUUGUGCUUGUGGACAUGUGUAUGGGCCAACGAGCGCAAAAGCUACAGGAGAUGGGCGGGCAAGUUCGGGCAGCACAACUUGUUGGACCAUUGCACUGUUGGAAGAAACAGGUACAAGCACAGGCACAAUCUGUACGGCCACUUGAGGUCGAGUGGCCGUGAGAUUCCAAACAAUACCAAGAAGCUGGUGUUCCGUAACAUAUGCGAGCAUUUGUUCCCUGAUCGCGUGGCGCACCCCGAGCAGUCCAGCGUCACCGUCGGGAAAGAUCGCGGGGGCCAGUCAGUCUAUCCUCCUGAGCUUCAAGAGGCUAUACUCAUCUGGCACAUCGCCACGGAUGUGUUCCUCUUGUGCAGCCCCAGCUGGAUGACAGGAACAGAGGAUCUUGCGACGGCGAUCAAGCAGAUGUCAAAUUACAUGAUGUUCCUCGUCACCAAACGCACCAAAAUGCUACCAGGACUUAUAGUCCGCGACCUGUACAAAAAGACUCUGGAUAAGCUGGAGAAGAUACGGGUUAAGGCGGCCACCGAGGGAUGUGCAACAAACGAGGAGCUUGCCAAAUGGAUGACCAAAGAAAAAUCGGAUUUUCUGAAGCACUCAGAUACCAGUGACACCAUCUGGGAUGGAACUCAACUUGCCCGUGUGCUGCUAAGGCGAGUCCUUGGGGAUAGACAAGAUGAAGUGAGCGUAGCAACUUUGGAAGAAGUCAAAGGUACGGCAGAAAGACUUGCAUACUGGCUUCCAGAUUUCAGUAAUCUUACUAUUGGGGAUAUGGAAGGCGUGCUGCUGUUCAUCCUGAAUGCGUGGGUGCGUGUGCUCGUGUUUGCGUCCAUCCGGUGCAGCAGGGAUGCUCAUGCCAGGCAGCUCAGCUGUGGCGGCGAACUAACGACCCUCGUGUGGAUCAUCACGCAACACGCAGAGUUGUUUUCUGGUUUGGCGGUUGCACUCAUGUACCUCUGGUUUGGACUCACGUAUCUUCGGAAUUUGGAUCGGUAG
This 2310-nucleotide ribosomal RNA is filed under the name Triticum aestivum (bread wheat). RNAcentral describes it as "partial small subunit ribosomal RNA". Lineage: Eukaryota; Viridiplantae; Streptophyta; Magnoliopsida; Poales; Poaceae. The record is from RNAcentral.